Molecule: transfer RNA, 74 nt
Filed under: Halonotius pteroides
Lineage: Archaea; Methanobacteriati; Methanobacteriota; Halobacteria; Halobacteriales; Haloferacaceae
Also listed under: 1 other name
Description: tRNA-Lys
Rfam family: tRNA
About the family: Transfer RNA (tRNA) molecules are approximately 80 nucleotides in length.
Source: RNAcentral
GGGCUGGUAGCUCAAUUUGGCAGAGCGUCUGGCUUUUAACCAGACGGUUGAGGGUUCAAGUCCCUUCCAGCCCG